AGGGAUGUAGCUCAGUGGUAGAGUGCUUGUCUAACAUGCACAAAGCCCUGGGUUAAAUCCCCAGCAUCUUUA
Molecule: transfer RNA, 72 nt
Filed under: Heterocephalus glaber (naked mole-rat)
Lineage: Eukaryota; Metazoa; Chordata; Mammalia; Rodentia; Bathyergidae
Rfam family: tRNA
About the family: Transfer RNA (tRNA) molecules are approximately 80 nucleotides in length. Their secondary structure includes four short double-helical elements and three loops (D, anti-codon, and T loops).
Source: Rfam by way of RNAcentral